AACAAUAUCCUGGUGCUGAGUGAGUGGCCCUCAGAGACUCCAGCAUCAGUGAUUUUGUUGA
Molecule: microRNA precursor, 61 nt
Filed under: Gekko japonicus
Lineage: Eukaryota; Metazoa; Chordata; Lepidosauria; Squamata; Gekkonidae
Description: Gja-Mir-338-P2_pre stem-loop
Rfam family: mir-338 microRNA precursor family
Source: RNAcentral